CUCUCUGUAAUAAAUAUUUUGAAAUUGUCAUAUGAAGAGUCAACCAAAGAGUAUGUAGCCAAAAAGUGUAGGAAAAAAGGUAUUGUACUGCUGUGAUCCCCUAACCAGCCCCAGAAGCCAGAGGAGAUUCCCCUCAACCCUGUAGGACUUGCUGUUGGCUUCCUGGUAGAGCUCAUUAAGCAACACGUCCCUUUUGAUUAAAUGCCUGGGAGCUACUUAAGAUGCCCCACACCUUGGGUGAUUGAAUUUAGAUCAGAAAUUUUAAAAACAAAAUCAUUAAGACUUUAAGGAAUUUACCUAUAUCUGUGGAAUUAAAUGGAGCCAGUAGGGAAGAUAUUAUGAUAUUGGAGAAUUUCCCCUCAUUUAAGCCAAGAGUUAGACAUACCCAUAACAUUUAUGCCUAAAGUUAACACCAAGUCCGAGCUUAGCAGGUAUUGAUCAUUUACCAGCUGUAUGACCUGUAACAAAUUUCUUAACAUUUUUAUUAGUCCUAGUUUCCUCAUCAAUUAGAAAGGGGAAUGAUGCUAUGGUCAUACUUAGCUUGCAAGGUGUGAAAGCACCCUAUUACAGUGCCCUACAUAUGGUGCUUAAUAAAUGUGAUUUCUUCUUAUGGUUUUACAAUAUGAGUUCUUGAAUUUUAUAGUUUUCUAUGGUGUCUUUCAUCUUUACUAAAUGGUCCAUUUAUGUAACUUGAGCUCCUGCUGAAUCCCAAGAGACCUCAUUGUUUUUAAGUCCUUACUAAUUCCUGAUUUUUGCUUUAUCUCCUUCACCUGAAGACCAAACCCUGAACUUUUGCUUAUACCCUGUAUUACCUAUUUUGUGUGAUGUUGAUACUAAUACCUGGAAUAAAUGUGCUCACAAUGUUAUAUCAUUUCUUCACAUAGAUUUUGAUGCUCAUCUUCCUAGAAAGACUAGCCACAUCUCUCAACGGGCAAGUCUGAGGCAUCAUGAUACACAACACUUUUUCUCCUGCUCAGAUUUCUCUGGACUACACAUAUUUCUAAUUUUAGGAGUAGCUGCAAGCAGUUAGGAGUCAUGCACUCACAUAUUCAAUGGUCUGUGCCAAAGCUGUCCAUGUCUGAUAGGGUAAUGUGUACUCAGUUAUUUUAAGUUCUUUCCUUUGAAAUGAAUGCUUUACUGUUUCCACAUUUUCUGAUAUUCAGAAAUAUACUUUUCCAGACCUCUUCCUAACACAUGUCGAUUUUAAGGUCUGCACCAGAGCUCUGUUCUGCUCUUGACUGUUGAAUAUAUGUGGCUUACUUUAAAAAAAAAAUUGUGUUUGCCCAUAGAGGGGCAGGGGACCGGGGAGGAGAAGGUAGGUAAGGUAGGAUUCUGACUCCAGAUGAGCUGAUUAAAAGGUAUCUGAGAUAACUGUUUUCAAAGGUGGAAAGAGACGGCUGGAAAUCAAUGGGCAGGCAUGUUGGAAUAUAAAAGUAAUCAACAUGAACACAGGCCAUAUCAUCAAUGCUCUCUGAAUGCAAAGGGAAAGGGAACUACUAUGCUGUGGCUUCCUUCAAAUUGAUGUGUGUUUCCAAACUUAGAGGAGCAAGGGAAAUGCUUGCAGGGACUUUAACUUGAAAAAAAAUAGGCUUGUGGCAUUAACAUAGCACGCUGAGUUCUUUGGAGUCAAGGUGCUGGCUAAAUUUCUGCUGCUAAUAAAUGCUUUUAUCACAAAGUAUACCCAAUUCCACCAUCUGUGUGAUGCAUACCAAGUUUCUUUGGUUUGUAGCAAGACCAUUUUGCAUUACAGUUAUUCAAAAAAUCACUGAUCAAUUACUAAGAUGCAUCUUUAUAAGAAAUAAAUUCUUGACAUGCAUAGAAGUAUAUGGAUGGUUGAAAGUAACUUGGAAAUUGGAGUAACUGAAAUAAUUUAAUCUAAUCCAAUCAUUUCACAGGUGGGAGAGCGGAGGCCCAAGUUACUUGUCAAAGUAACUAUCAUUCUUUGACCAGUAUUAACAUCUGUGUGUCCUGAUACCUACUCGAAGUCAAACUAUGACAUGAUAAUAUCUGUACACCAAUCACACAGAAAUGAACUAGAGGUGAUAUAGUUUAGACAUCCCUUCCAAAUCUCAUGUUGAAAUGUAAUACCCAGUGUUGGAGGUGGGGUCUAGUGGGAGGCGGAUCCCUCAUGGCUUGGUGUUCUCCUUGCAAUAGUGAGUACUUGCAAGAUCUGGUUAAGUCUGUGGCACCUCUCCCCACCUCACUCUCUCUUGCUCCCACUCUGCCAUGAGAGAUGUCUGCUCCCACUUCGCUUUCUGCCAUGAAUAAAAGCUCCUUGAGGCCUCCCCAGAAGCCAAACAGAUGCCAGUGCCUUGCUUCCUGUACAGCCUGCGGAACUGGACACUGGAUUUUGUGGAUGCUCCUUGGACACACUGGAAUGCACCUUGGGUAGCCCAUGGAUCAUUUUCCCCAGUAUGAAGCAUGGGAGGAGCUGGAAAAUGAACUCAUGAGCCGGUUGAGCCAGCACAACAAGCUGGAGCCAGGAGUCUGGCUGGGCUAGCUUUUAUCUUGUGCUCCCUGGAACCCUGACUGGAUGAUUUCUGAAGUCGAGCUGGAGCCCAUCUAGAGAGAAGGAUAUGCAGCUGGGAGUGAGUGUCCAGCCAACAGCCUGUGUCUCAGGCUCUGCCAGGGGAUGAAUCAAUUAGCAAGAGAAGCAAUGAUGCAAAUGCUCCGGGGUCACUUGGGAUGCUGUUUGCCUUUUUGAUAGAGAAAGCACGCCAUAAAUAACAUCACACAUCAGGAAAUCAUUCCAGGAGGCCCCGAUGCCGGCAGGGCUGCUGCCGGGGAUGGAAGGAAUCAUUUGCUCAUUGUGUGUAUUUCCCCCAGCUCAGUCAAUGGGAGAUUUGUAGUAAAAUCAAAGUAUUUAAAAGGAGGACAGUAUGUGGUAACAGAGGCAUGUUUAGUAAUUUUUUUAGUACCAGAACCUGUAAUUUAUGACCCAGAGUUACAGCCAACUUUAUUACAAAAAUGACUUCACCCAUAAUAACCUUAUUCAGGGCCCCCUGGAGAAUGAUGUAGUAUCCAACAGCAUUAUAAUCUAGCAAAUAUUCAAACACAAUUCCCGCCUCCGCCUCAUUUCCAACCAACCCCUCAGAAGCAGGCUUCCCCCUUUACCUGCUGGGAGAAGUGGGGUCCUGGGCAAGGCUUUGUGCUCUGUCUGUGGGAGUUUGCUUGGAUCAGGCAUUUAUACUAAGCCAGGACAGAAGGCCACCUCCUGGGGUCUCAGUCAUAUCUUGUCCAACCUUGUCCCCUGAGGAGUAAUGAGCAGAAGACACCCACUCACCCUUCAUUUCCUCUCUGUGCUGAAACUUCUUUCCUCCCUGCGUCCCCCCACCUGGAGGCAGAGCUCAGAUCCCCACCACCUGAAAGGAGCUCCAGUAAGCUCCCUGACAUUUUUAAUUGCCAUGGUAACUGAGAGCUGCACUAAAACCGCCAGGGCUGGGUGUCCAAGCAGGGUCCCCUGGGCGUACCGGAAUCUAGAAACUAGCCCUCCAUCUUAUUAAACUCCGGUGUCAGUUCCCAGCAAUUGUUUUAAAUUUACACCCUCAGAGUGGCUUAGUGGGAUUACAUGUCCAUUUGCAUUAAAACAGGUUUCUGUCAUUAAACUGCCAUACAAUAAGCUUCCGUGGGACAAAUUAAUGAGCUCUAAAUAUCAUCAAGUAGAAGUUCACCUCAAGACAGGCAACAAGGAGGGGGGGGGCGGAAGGAAGUGGCUGCUCAGAAUCUCAUGGCCCAGGAGAACGAUAAGUGCCAACUAAAGAAGGGUCUUGUCCUGUUUCUUCACUGCACGAUAAGUGGUCCUGAUUUAGAGCCGACUGGGGAGAUUUGGCAAUAUUCUCCCUGUUCGCCAAAAUCCUAUAGCUCAUCUUCUCCUAUGCCCUCUUCCAAAUAUGACUUUACCCUUGACUUUGCUGAAAUUUGCUGAUGAAA
This is a long non-coding RNA of Pongo pygmaeus (Bornean orangutan), 3930 nucleotides long. RefSeq lists it as uncharacterized. The record is from RefSeq and is a predicted model, not a curated record. The transcript is spliced from 4 exons. NCBI's taxonomy places the organism in Eukaryota, Metazoa, Chordata, Mammalia, Primates, Hominidae.